GAGAGCAAAAUUGUAUGGCUUACUGCUGGUUUUUCUGAGUGUUAUAUCAUGCAAUUUGACUAUAUUUCAGAAGACAAUGGUGAAGCGACGCCCUUGCAGGUCCUCCUCUAAUUUAUCUUGAGUUGUAUUUUUUUCACGUGUUGAUUGGUGAAGUAUUUUCUCUGUUUUUUCUCUAAGUUUUGUCUUGGCAAGCAUUUAAAGUCUUGAAAGAUAAAUUGAAAGGAUCCAAUAAAUUGUUUCGGUAUUCUGACAAUUAGAAAGGUGUCUAUUCAUAAUGAAUAGUGAGAUUUUGGGAUGAAUUGAAGUGCAUUAGCUAUAAUGAGGCAGAGGCUGGAUUGGAGACGUGGAGAUGAAAGCUUGACAUGAUGGAUUACAGCCAAGAAGACGAAGGUUAGCUAAGAAAGCUAAGUUGCCUUGGAGACAAACAUUUGUGAUGUUUGACAAUCGGAUUUAUGAAAAAUGUGCUUGCUUAGAGAAGCUGUUUACAAAUAAUUCUUAUUUUUUCUUUAUGGAGAAAUGCUUCUGUUAUUGCAUUGUUUCCGAAUGUGGCAAGAGCUGAGUAUUGAUAUGAUUUAUAAAAUGUUUAUCCCUAUGGUUUGGCGCAUAA
Molecule: long non-coding RNA, 607 nt
Organism: Eucalyptus grandis
Lineage: Eukaryota; Viridiplantae; Streptophyta; Magnoliopsida; Myrtales; Myrtaceae
Exons: 2
Source: RefSeq, a predicted model, not a curated record